This 1054-nucleotide long non-coding RNA is filed under the name Ananas comosus (pineapple). RNAcentral's name for it is "long non-coding RNA (ACOM_LNC016414)". Lineage: Eukaryota; Viridiplantae; Streptophyta; Magnoliopsida; Poales; Bromeliaceae. The record is from RNAcentral.
GGUAUUCAUGACACCGGAUCGGUUUGGCCACCGAUCGGAGGUGUACUUAUCCGGAUAGGUCGUCCUGCGGGGCGAAUGGAUCAGGUCGGUGCAGUUAGUGACAGGUAGCGCUUGAGGUCUGCGGACCGAUACAGCAGGCACUGAUUGGGUACAGUUUCUGGUUCAGUACUUUGAGGCAUUCUUUGCAUUGUUUUCCAUGCAGUAGCAGGUUUAUUUAUUGCUUUCUAUUUAUCUGUUGUAGCUACUGUAGUUCUAUUUCAUAUCAGCUUACAGUUAUAUACUUGUUUAUCUAUCUCCUUUGGUUUCCGGUGAUUACGACUUGCCUUCGUGGCUCUGUCGUACCCACUGAGAAAACCAUGGUUGCGGUUUCUCACCCCCCUUUUUUCCCCCCCUAGGUGACAGAGACGAGGAGUUGGACUUUGGGCUCGACGAGAGGACGAUCUAGUUAGACGGCAGUAGCGACCGUCACCCUGGUUAUUUCUUUCCCGCACUUAGUAGUUUUCUUAAUAAUGGUUCAGUUAGUUGAUCUUAUGUAUGCUUGAAUGUAUGUGAACUGUGGUGCUGGUUUUCCUCGUAUACAUGAAAUUGGAGUUUUCAAUCUGUGGUUUUGGUUCUGUGGAGAUUUGGUUUUCUUGUAAUUAUGCAUCGUGGUUUUCUACCCCUCGAGGUAGUCGGUUUUCAAAAUAGAGUUUCCGUGUGGGAAACAGUUUUAAAAGGGUUUUCGAAUGGUUUUUAUGAAUGAAUGAAUUAGAGUUUAAAAAUAAAAGCUUCCGUGUGGGGAGCACUUUUAAAUAGGAUGUUUGUUGUAUUGUGCAUUGCAUCAUCCAGCGCCUAAGGAGUGCUUAGAGGCAUGCAUCAUUCUAAGGAUUGUUAGCUGUAUGAAAAUGCAUAUCAUGCUUUGGUUGUUGAUUGGUAAAUAUAGGUUGUGGUUGUGAUCCUGUUGUAUUGUUGGUACGCCGUGCAAAUAUAAAGGAGACUCUGUCCGAGUGGACAGAGGAACUUUGUAUUUGUGGCGGGUCUGUACGUCGCGUGGGCCAGGCUGAAAAAAAAAAAA